RNAcentral lists this long non-coding RNA (3237 nucleotides) under Bos grunniens (domestic yak). RNAcentral describes it as "lncRNA (ENSBGRG00000019816.1)". Lineage: Eukaryota; Metazoa; Chordata; Mammalia; Artiodactyla; Bovidae. The record is from RNAcentral.
UUGAGGGGGUGUGUUUCCGGCUUUUAGAAGAGGUGGGCGGAUUUGGCGGGUGCGAGGUCACCCACCAGAUGUGUAACCUGCUGUCUGCUGAAGCGAACCUCUGAGUUGAAAUGAGACAUGGUGAAAAAAGGUCCCCAGGGAGCAAAUCUGAAAGCCGGCUUCUCCAGAACAUAGACUGCCAGGGGGCGAGACGACUUUAGACACCGUCCCCAGCAGAUUGAUAGAUGAAGCAUAAAACAAGACCAGAUGCUGUGGUUUCCAGGAUGCACUUGGCUUCCCAUCCCUUAUAACCUGGAGCAUUUUUUGCUAGACAAAAGGCAAAUGUUAAGACUUCCCUGGCGGUCCAGUGGUUGGGAACCUGCGUGCCAGUGCAGGGAACACAGGUUCAGUCUUUGGUCUGGGAAGAUUGCCGCACAUGCCGUGGGGCAGCGAAGCCGAUGCACCGCAACUAUUGAAUUCCACGCACCUGGAGCUAGUGCUCUACGACAGGAGAAGCCACUACAGUGAGAAGCCUGCACACCGCAAAGAGAGAGGAAGCCCCACUCGCUGCAAGGAAGAGCCAGCGCAGCCAAAAAUAAAUAAAUAAUUUUAAAAGAGAAAUGUUAGAAAAUGAUAAUUUUGUUAGAACUUGGUGGAAAGAAAAGUUAGCCUCUUGAAUAAAAUUAGGAGUCCACAUUCUGGGGAAUUUGGUUAUUUUUGUGGUGUAACUGAGGAAAAGAUACAUUACUAUGUUUGCUUUAUGAUUAAAAAGGCCUCAGAGACCUUUUUUUCUUCUUUCCUUCAGGGCACAGAUUAUUAACUAAUCUGCUCUGUUAAUGUUCCCUUUGGGAAACAAAAUGGAAAUAGUGAUUAAGGUCUUUGCUGAUAAUGUUCCAACCAAAGUAUAGAAAGAAAGGUUUAUAUAAUGUGACAUGGUAACAACAUAUAUGGGUGAUAUUAUUAUCUGAGGAUUGUACUAUAUCCAGCUGGUAAGUUAUAUUUGUAUGUUUAAGUAUAUAUUUGAGACCAUGUGCAGUCUUUUAGUCACUGAGUUUAUAAAUACUUAACUGAGAGUCUAUCUGAUACAUAAAAAAAAACUACACUAGGCAUUGUGAGAAGUACAGAGAUUUACACCUUUGUAUAAAGAAUUGUUUUUUUAACCUCCAAGAAACUCCAGUGGGAAAUGGGACAUUGAACCAAAGACUGAGGUGCAGUUAGGAGUUGACAGUGCUUCAACUAGAGAGACUAGAGGUAUACUGUACCUUCUGACAACUGUCAAAUGAGGCUGAUUCUUGAGAAGCCCUGUGACUUUGCUCUUCGUAGAGUUCAACUGGGCCUGUCUUCAUAGAAGACAUUUUUCAGGAAGCUAUUCUAGUCCAUGGAGGAGGUGACAUCUCCUGAACCUGGUCCCCACAGAGAAUUUUGAAUGGGAGGAAAAGGAGAUGGUGUGUAUUCUUGCUUAUGUCAUAAUGUUGGACACAUGACUUAAGAAUGUGGCAGGUCAAUGUGACUGGAUCAUUUCAUUACCGCACUUUAGAGUGACUCAGAGGCAAAUGCAGCUUGUUUAAACUCUUAACUGAAGCAUUGGUAUGAUGUAAGAUUAUAGCAGUAAAAGAUAUAAAAUGACUACUUAUUGGGGACAUCCUGAAGGACCGGGGGAAUCCUUAUUUUCUUAUCAUCUCUCAUCUUGCAGUUGUUGAUAGUAAUUCAUCAUAUCUCAAAUAACAGGGAAGGCAUCAGAGGUAGCAAUAAGGAGAAUACAACCAAAUAACAUAUAGGAUCUAAACUCAAUAAAAACAGCAAUAGUGAUCACUUAUAUAGUGUUUACUAUGUGCCAGACUUGUUCUAGGUAAUAUAUGCAUAUAUCCUCACCUAAUUCUCAUAACAACCCUGUGAAGUAGGUACUGUGUUUUGUUUUUUUUUAAUGAUUUAUUUUUGGCUGUGCUGGGUCUUCAUUGCUGCAUGGGCUUUUCUCUAGUUGUGACGACUGAGGACUACUCUUCAUUGCGGUGCCAGGGCUUCUCAUUGUGGUGGCUGCUCUUAUUGUGGAGCACAGGGUUUAGGGCAUGUGGGCUUCAGUAGUUGUGGCUGUACUGUGCUUGCCCCGUCGUGUCUGACUCUUUGCAACCCCAUACACUGUAGCCCACCAGGCUCCUCUGUCCAUGGGGAUUCUCCAGGCAAGAAUACUGGAGUGGGUUGCCAUGCCCUCCUCCAGGGGAUCUUCCUGACCCAGGGAUUGAACCCUCAUCUCUUAUGUCUCCUGCAUUAGCAAUUGAGUUCUUUACCAUUAGCGCCACCUGGGAAGCCCAAGUGUAAUUGUGGCACUUGGGCUCAAUAGUUGUGGUUCCCAGGCUCUAGAGCACAGUCUCAAUAGUUACAGCCCACAGGCUUAGUUGUUCUGCAGCACGUGCGAUCUUCCUGGACCAGCGAUCAAACCCAUGUCUCCUGCAUUGGCAGGUGGGUUCUUUACCACUGAGCCACCAGGGAGGCCCUGAGGUAGGUACUAUUAUUAUCCCCAUUUUACAGAUGAGGACGUGGGGAUAUGAGAGAUUAUGUAGCUCCCUGAAGAUCCCACAACUGUUAAGUGGCAGGGUAAUAUUUGAGAGCAGACAGUCUGACUCCAGAAACGGUGCUUUUAACCUCCAUGCUAACUAACCUUUCAAGGAAUUUAUAAUCUCAGUAUACAGAGUUCAGUACCUCCCUUUCAGGGUAAGGCAGUGAGGAAUGGUAUAUGCUGCUGCUAAGUCACUUCAGUCGUGUCCGACUCUGUGCGACCCAUAGAUGGCAGCCCACCAGGCUCCCCAUCCCUGGGAUUCUCCAGGCAAGAACACUGGAGUGGGUUGCCAUUUCCUUCUCCAAUGCAUGAAAGUGAAAAGUGAAAGUGAAGUCGCUCAGUCGUGUCUGACUCUUAGCGACCCCAUGGACUGCAGCCUUCCAGGCUCCUCUGUCCAUGGGAUUUUCCAGGCAAGAGUACUGGAGUGGGGUGCCAUCGCCUUCUCCAGGGAUGGUGUAUAGGGAAGCAAAAUUGACUCAGAUUAUGUGUUUCCUAUAAACUAACACCAAGGGUGUCUGACUCAAGAAAUGUUUUCUAGUUUGUGCUCCAGAGAGAAUGGAGUUAUUCUCUCCAUUUAAUACUCUCCAGAGAGUAUUAAAUGCAGCAGAAUGUUGGAUAUGUUUACCAGUGGAUAUCCAUUUAGUUUCAUUUUAUGGCCACAGCUACAAUCCUGCAUCUUCCUUUCAUAUAUGCAUUAUGAGGAU